UUUUUUUUUGUUUUAAAUGUAGUUAAAUCCGCCGUGUUUGUACGAAAUUCGUCAUGUUUGUACGAAAUCCAGCUGUGUUUGCAUGAAUUUCAUCCGGUUUGUUGAAAAACAGUUUCAAAUGUUUGCGGCUAGCGUUGGAUGUCCACCUCCCGCGUCCAUGUUUGCGGACUGGCCCCCCUUUAUCCGCGGACGAAUGCCAGAGGUUUUUUACGGGUUGUCGUUGCAGAUGCCCUAGAAAGCAAAAUCCCUUGCGAACGCGGUGAUGAUCAACAGCGAUACAAAUUUCAUCAGUGAGUCCAGGACAGGAGGAUGGGGAUGUAUUGGCCGGGAUACAGAUGGUGAAGUCAUAUUUGCAGCGGCGGGUAAUUUUUCAGGCAUCUCUGAAGCAUUAUCGAAAAAUGCUUUCGCUCCGCUUUAUAUAUAAAUCUAUAAAGCAACGAUCAACAACAAACCGACAUAAACACGCCUCAUCACAACACACGCAAACCCAAGGCAGGAAACAUAGGCGCUGAACCCAACAACACCACCCCUAGCACUACAAGAGCAACCAGGAGCUUCAGUCGUGAACACGCCACCGUGAAAAGAUGAAACCGCAUACGAUGAACUGUGGGCUCCAAAGGAAGGUUACGGUAUCGGUGUUGGGUAACGUAGUAAUUUCAAAAAAAUUCCUACGCACACGCAAGAUCAUGGUGAUGCAUAGCAACGAGAGGGGAGAGUGUUGUCCAUGUACCCUCGUAGACCGACAGCAGAAGCGUUAUCACAACGCGGUUGAUGUAGUCGUACGUCUUCACGAUCCGACCGAUCAAGUACCGAACGCACGGCACCUCCGAAGUUCUACACACGUUCAGCUCGAUGACGUCCCUCGAACUCCGAUCCAGCCGAGUGUUGAGGGAGAGUUUCGUCAGCACGACGGCGUGGUGACGAUGAUGAUGUUCCACCGACGCAGGGCUUCGCCUAAGCUCCGCAACGGUAUUAUCAAGGUGUAAUAUGGUGGAGGGGGGCACCGCACACGGCUAAAAUAUCGUAUAUCAAGUGUGUGUCCAUGGGGUGCCCCCUGCCCCCGUAUAUAAAGGAGCAAGGGAGGAGGAGGCCGGCCCUAGGAGGGGGCGCGCCAAGUGUGGAGUCCUACUAGGACUCCCUAGUCCUAGUAGGAUUCCACCUCCCAUAUGGAAUAGGAAAAGAGGAAGGGAAAAGGAGAAGGAAGGAAGGGGGCGCCCCCCUUCCCUAGUCCAAUUCGGACCAGACCAAGGGGAGGGGUGCGGCCACCCUUGAGGCCCUUUUCCUUCUUUCCCGUAUGGCCCAAUAAGGCCCAAUACGUAUUCCCGUAACUCUCCGAUACUCCGAAAAAUACCCGAAUCACUCAGAACCUUUCCGAAGUCCGAAUAUAGUUGUCCAAUAUAUCGAUCUUUACGUCUCGGCCAUUUCGAGACUCCUCGUCAUGUCCCCGAUCUCAUCCGGGACUCCGAACUCCUUCGGUACAUCAAAACUCAAUAAAACUGUCAUCGUAACUUUAAGCGUGCGGACCCUUUGGGUUCGAGAACUAUGUACACAUGACCGAGACACCUCUCCGGUCAAUAACCAAUAGCGGGACCUGGAUGCCCAUAUUGGCUCCCACAUAUUCUACGAAGAUCUUUAUCGGUCAGACCGCAUAACAACAUACGUUGUUCCCUUUGUCAUCGGUAUGUUACUUGCCCGAGAUUCGAUCGUCGGUAUCUCGAUACCUAGUUCAAUCUCGUUACCGGCAAGUCUCUUUACUCGUUCCAUAAUACAUCAUCCCGCAACUAACUCAUUAGUCACAAUGCUUGCAAGGCUUAUAGUGAUGUGCAUUACCGAGUGGGCCCAGAGAUACCUCUCCGACAAUCGGAGUGACAAAUCCUAAUCUCGAAAUACGCCAACCCAACAAGUACCUUUGGAGACACCUGUAGAGCACCUUUAUAAUCACCCAGUUACGUUGUGACGUUUGGUAGCACACAAAGUGUUCCUCCGGUAAACGGGAGUUGCAUAAUCUCAUAGUCAUAGGAACAUGUAUAAGUCAUGAAGAAAGCAAUAGCAACAUACUAAACGAUCGGGUGCUAAGCUAACGGAAUGGGUCAAGUCAAUCACGUCAUUCUCCUAAUGAGGUGAUCUCGUUAAUCAAAUGACAACUCAUGUCUAUGGCUAGGAAACAUAACCAUCUUUGAUUAACGAGCUAGUCUGGUAGAGGCAUACUAGUGACACUCUUGUUUGUCUAUGUAUUCACACAUGUAUUAUGUUUCCGGUUAAUACAAUUCUAGCAUGAAUAAUAAACAUUUAUCAUGAUAUAAGGAAAUAUAUAAUACUUUAUUAUUGCCUCUAGGGCAUAUUUCCUUCAGUCUCCCACUUGCACUAGAGUCAAUAAUCUAGUUCACAUCGCCAUGUGAUUUAACAUCAAUAAUUCACAUCACCAUGUGAUUAACACCCAUAGUUCACAUCUCUAUGUGACCUACACUCAAAGGGUUUACUAGAGUCAAUAAUCUAGUUCACAUCGCUAUGUGAUUAACACCCAAAGAGUACUAAGGUGUGAUCAUGUUUUGAUUGUGAGAUAAUUUUAGUCAACGGGUCUGUCACAUUCAGAUCCGUAAGUAUUUUGCAAAUUUCUAUGUCUACAAUGCUCUGCACGGAGCUACUCUAGCUAAUUGCUCCCACUUUCAAUAUGUAUCUAGACCGAGACUUAGAGUCAUCUAGAUUUAGUGUCAAAACUUGCAUCGACGUAACCCUUUACGACGAACCUUUUGUCACUUCCAUAAUCGAGAAACAUAUCCUUAUUCCACUAAGGAUAAUUUUGACCGCUGUCCAGUGAUCUACUCCUAGAUCACUAUUGUACUCCCUUGCCAAAAUCAGUGUAGGGUAUACAAUAGAUCUGGUACACAGCAUGGCAUACUUUGUAGAACCUAUGGCCAAGGCAUAGGGAAUGACUUUCAUUCUCUUUCUAUCUUCUGCCGUGGUUGGGCUUUGAGUCUUACUCAAUUUCACACCUUGUAACACAGGCAAGAACUCUUUCUUUGACUGUCCUAUUUUGAACUACUUCAAAAUCUUGUUAAGGUAUGUACUCAUUGAAAAAACUUUAUCAAGCGUCUUGAUCUAUCUCUAUAGAUCUUGAUGCUCAAUAUGUAAGCAGCUUCACCGAGGUCUUUCUUUGAAAAACUCCUUUCAAACACUCCUUUAUGCUUUGCAGAAUAAUCUUACAUUAUUUCUGGUCAACAAUAUGUCAUUCACAUAUACUUAUCAGAAAUGCUGUAGUGCUCCCACUCACUUUGUUGUAAAUACAGGCUUCAUCGCAAGUCUGUAUAAAACUAUAUCCUUUGACCAACUUAUCAAAGCAUAUAUUCCAACUCCGAGAUGCUUGCACCAGUCCAUAGAUGGAUCGCUGGAGUUUGCAUAUUUUGUUUAGCACCUUUAGGAUUGACAAAACCUUCUGUUGCAUCAUAUACAACUCUUCUUUAAUAAAUCCAUUAAGGAAUGCAGUUUUGUUUAUCCAUUUGCCAGAUUUCAUAAAAUGCGGCAAUUGCUAAACAUGAUUCGGACAGACUUAAGCAUCGCUGCGAGUGAGAAAAUCUCAUCGUAGUCAACACCUUGAACUUUGUCAAAAACCUUUUUUCGACAAGUCUAGCUUUGUAGAUAGUAACACUACUAUCAACGUCUGUCUUUCUCUUGAAGAUCCAUUUAAUCUCAAUGGCUCGCCGAUCAUUGGGCAAGUCAAUCAAAGUCCACACUUUGUUCUCAUAUAUGGAUCUUAUCUCAGAUUUCAUGGCCUCAAGCCAUUUCGCGGAAUCUGGGCUCAUCAUCGUUGCCUCAUAGUUCGUAGGUUCGUCAUGGUCUAGUAACAUAACCUCCAGAACAGGAUUUACCGUACCACUCUGGUGCGGAUCUUACUCUGGUUGACCUACGAGGUUCAGUAAUAACUUGAUCUGAAGUUCCAUGAUCAUCAUCAUUAACUUCCUCACUAAUUGGUGCAGGAGUCACAGGAACAGAUUUCUGUGAUGAACUACUUUCCAAUAAGGGAGCAGGUACAGUUACCUCAUCAAGUUCUACUUACCUCCCACUCACUUCUUUCGAGAGAAACUCCUUCACUAGAAAGGAUCCAUUCUUAGCAACGAAUGUCUUGCCUUCGGAUCUGUGAUAGAAGAUGUACCCAACUAUCUCCUUUGGGUAUCCUAUGAAGACACAUUUCUCCGAUUUGGGUUUGAGCUUAUCAGGAUGAAACCUUUUCACAUAAGCAUCGCAACCCCAAACUUUAAGAAACGACAACUUUGGUUUCUUGCCAAACCACAGUUCAUAAGAUGUCGUCUCAACGGAUUUAGAUGGUACCCUAUUUAACGUGAAUGCAGCUGUCUCUAAUGCAUAACCCCAAAACGAUAGUGGUAGAUCGGUAAGAGACAUCAUAUAUCGCACCAUAUCUAAUAAAGUACGGUUACGAUGUUCGGACACACCAUUACAUCGUGGUGUUCCAGGUGGCGUGAGUAGUGAAACUAUUUCACAUUGUUUUAACUGAAGGCCAAACUCGUAACUCAAAUACUCUUCUCCACGAUCAGAUCGUAGAAACUUUAUUUGCUUGUUACGAUGAUUUUCCGCUUCACUCUGAAAUUAUAUGAACUUUUCAAAUGUUUCAGACUUCUGUUUCAUUAAGUAGAUAUACCCAUAUCUUCUCAAAUCAUCUGUGAAGGUCAUAAAAUAAUGAUACCUGCUACGAGCCUCAAUAUUCAUCGGACCACAUACAUCUGUAUGUAUGAUUUCCAACAAAUCUGUUGCUCUCUCCAUAGUUCCGGAGAACGGCGUUUUAGUCAUCUUGCCCAUGAGGCACGGUUCGCAAGCAUCAAGUGAUUCAUAAUCAAGUGAUUCCAAAAUCCCAUCAGUAUGGAGUUUCUUCAUGCGCUUUACAUCAAUAUGACCUAAACGGCAGUGCCACAAAUAAGUUGCACUAUGAUUAUUAACUUUAUAUCUUUUGGCUUCAAUAUUAUGAAUAUGUGUAUCACUAUGAUCGAGAUCCAACAAACCUUUUUCGUUGGUGUGUAUGACCAUAGAAGGUUUUUAUUCAUGUAAAUAGAACAACUAUUGUUCUCUAACUUAAAUGAAUAACCGUAUUGCAGUAAACAUGAUCAAAUCAUAUUCAUGCUCAACGCAAACACCAAAUAACACUUAUUUAGUUUCAACACUAAUCCCGAAAGUACAGGGAGUGUGCGAUGAUGAUCAUAUCAAUCUUGGAACUACUUCCAACACACAUCGUCACCUCGCCUUUUACUAGUCUCUGUUUAUUCUGCAACUCCUGAUUCGAGUUACUACUUUAGCAACUGAACCAGUAUCAAAUACCGAGGGGUUGCUAUAAACACUAGUAAAGUACACAUCAAUAACAUGUAUAUCCAAUAUACCUUUGUUCACUUUGCCAUCCUUCUUAUCCACCAAAUAGUUGGGGUAGUUCCGCUUCCAGUGACCAGUCCCUUUGCAGUAGAAGCACUUAGUCUCAGGCUUAGGACCAGACUUAGGCUUCUUCACUUGAGCAGCAACUUGCUUGCCGUUCUUCUUGAAGUUCCCCUUCUUCCCUUUGCCCUUUUCUUGAAACUAGUGGUCUCGUCAACCAUCAACACUUCAUGUUUUUCUUGAUUUCUACCUUCGUCGAUUUCAGCAUCACGAAGAGCUCGGGAAUUACUUUCGUCAUCCCUUGCAUACUGUAGUUCAUCACGAAGUUCUACUAACUUGGUGAUGGUGACUAGAGAAUUCUGUCAAUCACUAUUUUAUCUGGAAGAUUAACUCCCACUUGAUUCAAGCGAUUGUAGUACCCAGACAAUCUGAGCACAUGCUCACUAGUUGAGCGAUUCUCCUCCAUCUUUUAGCUAUAGAACUUGUUGAAGACUUCAUAUCUCUCAACUCGGGUAUUUGCUUGAAAUAUUAACUUCAACUCCUGGAACAUCUCAUAUGGUCCAUGACGUUCAAAAUGUCUUUGAAGUCCCGAUUCUAAGCCGUUUAAGCAUGGUGCACUAAACUAUCAAGUAGUCAUCAUAUUUGAGCUAGCCAAACGUUCAUAACGUCUGCAUCUGCUCCUGCAAUAGGUCUGUCACCUAGCGGUGCAUCAAGGACAUAAUUCUUCUGUGCAGCAAUGAGGAUAAUCCUCAGAUCAUGGAUCCAAUCCGCAUCUUUGCUACUAACAUCUUUCAACAUAAUUUUCUCUAGGAAUCAUAUCAAAAAUAAGCACAGGGAAGCAACAACGCGAGCUAUUGAUCUACAACAUAAUUUGCAAAAAUACUAUCAGGACUAAGUUCAUGAUAAAUUUAAGUUCAAUUAAUCAUAUUACUUAAGAACUCCCACUUAGAUAGACAUCCCUCUAAUCAUCUAAGUGAUUACGUGAUCCAAAUCAACUAAACCAUGUCCGAUUAACACGUGAGAUGGAGUAGUUUCAAUGGUGAACAUCACUAUGUUGAUCAUAUCUACUAUAUGAUUCACGCUCGACCUUUCGGUCUCUGUGUUCCGAGGCCAUAUCUGUAUAUGCUAGGCUCGUCAAGUUUAACCUGAGUAUUCCGCGUGUGCAACUGUUUUGCACCCGUUGUAUUUGAACGUAGAGCCUAUCACACCCGAUUAACACGUGGUGUCUCAGCACGAAGAACUUUUGCAACGGUGCAUACUCAGGGAGAACACUUUUAUCUUGAAAUUUUAGUGAGAGAUCAUCUUAUAAUGCUACCGUCAAUCAAAGCAAGAUAAGAUGCAUAAAGGAUUAACAUCACAUGCAAUCAAUAUAAGUGAUAUGAUAUGGCCAUCAUCAUCUUGUGCUUGUGAUCUCCAUCUCCGAAGCACCGUCAUGAUCACCAUCGUCACCGGCGCGACACUUUGAUCUCCAUCGUAGUAUUGUUCUCGUCUCGCCAACUUAUUGCUUUUACGACUAUCGCUACCGCUUAGUGAUAAAGUAAAACUAUUACAUGGCGAUUGCAUCUCAUACAAUAAAGCGACAACCAUAUGGCUCCUGCCAAUUGCUGAUAACUCGGUUACAAAAACAUGAUCAUCUCAUACAAAAAAUUAUAUCACAUCAUGUCUUGACCAUAUCACAUCACAACAUGCCCUGCAAAAACAAGUUAGACGUCCUCUACUUUGUUGUUGCAUGUUUUACGUGGCUGCUAUGGGCUUAGCAAGAACCGUUCUUACCUACGCAUCAAAACCACAAUGAUAGUUUGUCAAGUUGGUGCUGUUUUAACCUUCGCAAGGACCGGGCGUAGGCACACUUGGUUCAACUAAAGUGAGAGAGACAGACACCCGCCGGUCACCUUUAAGCAACGAGUGCUCGCAAACGGUGAAACCAGUCUCGCGUAAGCGUACGCGUAAUGUCGGUCCGGGCCGCUUCAUCUCACAAUACCGCUGAACCAAAGCAUGACAUGCUGGUAAGCAGUAUGACUUAUAUCGCCCACAACUCACUUGUGUUCUACUCGUGCAUAGCAUCAACGCAUAAAACCAGGCUCGGAUGCCACUGUUGGGUAACGUAGUAAUUUCAAAAAAAUUCCUACGCACACGCAAGAUCAUGGUGAUGCAUAGCAACGAGAGGGGAGAGUGUUGUCCACGUACCCUCGUAGACCGACAGCAGAAGCGUUAUCACAACGCGGUUGAUGUAGUCGUACGUCUUCACGAUCCGACCGAUCAAGUACCGAACGCACGGCACCUCCGAAGUUCUACACACGUUCAGCUCGAUGACGUCCCUCGAACUCCGAUCCAGCCGAGUGUUGAGGGAGAGUUUCGUCAGCACGACGGCGUGGUGACGAUGAUGAUGUUCCACCGACGCAGGGCUUCGCCUAAGCUCCGCAACGGUAUUAUCGAGGUGUAAUAUGGUGGAGGGGGGCACCGCACACGGCUAAAAUAUCGUAUAUCAAGUGUGUGUCCAUGGGGUGCCCCCUGCCCCCGUAUAUAAAGGAGCAAGGGAGGAGGAGGCCGGCCCUAGGAGGGGGCGCGCCAAGUGUGGAGUCCUACUAGGACUCCCUAGUCCUAGUAGGAUUCCACCUCCCAUAUGGAAUAGGAAAAGAGGAAGGGAAAAGGAGAAGGAAGGAAGGGGGCGCCCCCCUUCCCUAGUCCAAUUCGGACCAGACCAAGGGGAGGGGUGCGGCCACCCUUGAGGCCCUUUUCCUUCUUUCCCGUAUGGCCCAAUAAGGCCCAAUACGUAUUCCCGUAACUCUCCGGUACUCCGAAAAAUACCCGAAUCACUCGGAACCUUUCCGAAGUCCGAAUAUAGUUGUCCAAUAUAUCGAUCUUUACGUCUCGGCCAUUUCGAGACUCCUCGUCAUGUCCCCGAUCUCAUCCGGGACUCCGAACUCCUUCGGUACAUCAAAACUCAAUAAAACUGUCAUCGUAACUUUAAGCGUGCGGACCCUUUGGGUUCGAGAACUAUGUACACAUGACCGAGACACCUCUCCGGUCAAUAACCAAUAGCGGGACCUGGAUGCCCAUAUUGGAUCCCACAUAUUCUACGAAGAUCUUUAUCGGUCAGACCGCAUAACAACAUACGUUGUUCCCUUUGUCAUCGGUAUGUUACUUGCCCGAGAUUCGAUCGUCGGUAUCUCGAUACCUAGUUCAAUCUCGUUACCGGCAAGUCUCUUUACUCGUUCCAUAAUACAUCAUCCCGCAACUAACUCAUUAGUCACAAUGCUUGCAAGGCUUAUAGUGAUGUGCAUUACCGAGUGGGCCCAGAGAUACCUCUCCGACAAUCGGAGUGACAAAUCCUAAUCUCGAAAUACGCCAACCCAACAAGUACCUUUGGAGACACCUGUAGAGCACCUUUAUAAUCACCCAGUUACGUUGUGACGUUUGGUAGCACACAAAGUGUUCCUCCGGUAAACGGGAGUUGCAUAAUCUCAUAGUCAUAGGAACAUGUAUAAGUCAUGAAGAAAGCAAUAGCAACAUACUAAACGAUCGGGUGCUAAGCUAACGGAAUGGGUCAAGUCAAUCACGUCAUUCUCCUAAUGAGGUGAUCUCGUUAAUCAAAUGACAACUCAUGUCUAUGGCUAGGAAACAUAACCAUCUUUGAUUAACGAGCUAGUCUGGUAGAGGCAUACUAGUGACACUCUUGUUUGUCUAUGUAUUCACACAUGUAUUAUGUUUCCGGUUAAUACAAUUCUAGCAUGAAUAAUAAACAUUUAUCAUGAUAUAAGGAAAUAUAUAAUACUUUAUUAUUGCCUCUAGGGCAUAUUUCCUUCAAUCGGGGCGCCGCCACCGCCCGAUCCGAGGAUCAGAGUUUCCCCUGGAGCAACACGACGGAAAAUGAGAGCCGCGACAACGCCUUGAAGAAGGGAACGAGCUUCGCUGCCGCCGGUCCGUCCGAAGAUAGAACAAAAUUUCACCCCGGGCAACACUCACCGUCACCGAACGCCACACACCCCUACCAUGCCGCUCACACGGCCAUGGCCACUGGGCAGCACCGAGCCACGGGCUCUGCCCAUGAGCACCGCGCUACCACCACCAGGGCCGCCGCCCCGGCAUCCAAUACUUUGACACCACCUCACUCGAGACCCGCCGCUACCCCAAUCAAAGAGACGAGCGGAAAGGCCCUGCCUUUCGCACCCCUGGGGCCCCCAAGCGCGGGGACCCAAAAGGUCGGCCAAAACCGGCCUCCAUUGACCAUUCCUACUGCCAGGCGCGAGACGAGCUCAGUCCUGCAACACCGGACGCGAACGAGCGAUGGACCACAACUGGAAGAGGGCCAACCCUUCGACGAAAGUAGCGCCCACACGACAAGGAGAGGGAUCGAAGGCCGACACAAGCCGCCUGCGGACGAGCCGACGCCGGAACAUGCCAGCCGACGCGACAGCCGGCCUGCCAAGCUGCCGUGGAGACACCCACGGCCGGAGCAGCAGGCCGCCGGGCCACUGCCCAACCCACGCCGCCCGGCGAGCUCCAAGCUGCAUCAAGGUUUGAGUUCAAUCCCCGUGAAUGUAAUGUGCCUGCACAUUUAUUAGCUACGCAUGGUGCGAGGAUUGAAUCAAGAAGUCAACGUGUUUGGCUCAUUGAUUUGCCCUCUGAUGUAACUGGUGCUGUGGCUGUUUGGCUCACUGAUUUGCCCUCUGAUGUAAUUGGUGCUGUGGCCGGCGAUUUAGCAGCGUCCGCUAGUUGAAUAGAAUGCACGGUGUUCCUUGUCAAAUAAAUAAAUCAGAGGACAAAACUGGUAAAUAGGAGGAUAACUCCAGCCUUUGCAUCGAUUGAUGCAGCUAGGCAACUGAUGAGUAUACAAUCGAAUCCAUUGCCACGAAAUUCCAGCAUUGAUCCAAACAUGUCGCUAGAUGAUCAUGCAUGCUCAAUUCAUACUAGGAAACGUAGAACACUACAUCUUUGAGGCCGGUAUACAUCAGCGAUCCAUCCACCCCCAACUUAGCUCAACGUUUGUUCAACUCAAACAUGUCCAUUAUUAAUUCUACGACUCGAUGGACCCUUGCAAUUCAGAAACAUCUUAUCACGUUCUUCCAUCAGAUGAAUAACACAAAGCGACCGAAGAGCACCGGCGCAAAAUAUCACGUGCAGCUGCUCGAUCUCACACAUGUCCUGGCGAUCCGUUCAUUCCCAUGAUCUUUUCCUGUGGAAAGUCCACUCGGAUGGGUUGAUGGUCGAUUUGCCGCUGGAGGCGACAAGGUCGUAGGGCGAGUCCUCCCCGAACUCGGUCGGCAUCGCCUUCCAGUGUAGGCAUGGAUCCCAUUCCGCCUCCUUGAGGAUCCUCAGGAUCUCUUCCACAACUAUAUUGCUCCCCUCUUCCGACAAAUGC
RNAcentral lists this long non-coding RNA (10735 nucleotides) under Triticum aestivum (bread wheat). Its description in RNAcentral is "long non-coding RNA (TAES_LNC004246)". The record is from RNAcentral. Lineage: Eukaryota; Viridiplantae; Streptophyta; Magnoliopsida; Poales; Poaceae.